This 4720-nucleotide long non-coding RNA is filed under the name Sus scrofa (pig). RNAcentral's name for it is "lncRNA (ENSSSCG00000062097.1)". The record is from RNAcentral. Lineage: Eukaryota; Metazoa; Chordata; Mammalia; Artiodactyla; Suidae.
CACAGCAAUGUACAUUCUGGUGCAAACACCUUUUUCCUUCAUGGACAUCUAACCAAGAAUUUCCAGGCCAGUGUUGUCUGCAGGUUACAUUCUAAGAAGUACUUGUCUAUAGAGCUUCACUAAGAACAAUUGGUUUUGGUGGAAAGGUGUACCUUGGAAUGGAUUAGUGAGUGGUUGGGUUUUGGAAGAGAAUAACAAUCUGAGCCUGGCACUGAGCUAUGGCCUUCCCAUGCAACCAUACACAAAGGGCAUCCAAUCCCGCAACUGUCAUCCUGCUUGCUCCCAAGCUCUUGGGGGUUUGAACCAUCUUCCUGCAGGGUACACUGGUACACACAGGUUGUAGGACUUCUGUGCACUGUCACGCACAAGCGUGAACAGCCAGGCCUGCCCCUGGAAGGGAGGAGAGCCAGGGCAACCCAACCCACAGGGCCCCCGUGAUGGUUGUGCUGUUGACAUAUUUAUUUCAUAGGGCCCUUAGGAUAGUGCUAAACUUUUUCAAGUGAAUUUCAUUUAUUCUCAGAAAAGGGGAAAGAAGGAUUUUCAGGAUUUUGAACUGGAAAGUGACAUGAUCAUAUUUGCGCUGUAGAAGGAGCAAACCUCUCUGUGGAAAGUAGACGAGAGAAGGUGAGGCCGGAGGUGGGGAUUCUAGCAGGAAGGUCAGAACUGGACAGUAGCCUUCCCCCUCCCUCAUCCACACUCUUGCCACAGCCUCAUGGUGGGAGGAAUGUAAUCUCCUAGCCCUGGACUUUGAGCUUGGUCUCAGGACUUAUGUUGAUCAAUGGAAUGGGGCCGAAGUAACUGGAUACGGGUUCUGAGACUAGGCUUUUUUUUCUCUUUUUGGCCAUGCCUGCAGCAUGUGGAAAUUCCCCAGGGCCAGGAAUUGAACCUGAACCAUAGCAGUGACGAUGCCAAAUCUUUAACCAUUAGGCCACCAUGGAACUCUGAGACCGGACCCUAAGAAGCCUCACAUAUUUCUGCCUGCCCUGUUGUGCAUCUGCCAUCACCAAGAGAAGGAUGUGCCUGGCUGGCCCACUGAUGCUGGCAGAUGAGAGACAGGUAGAGCAGACCCACCCUUCCUGCUUGCAGACUCUCGAGCCAGCCCAGCUGAGGUCAGUAAACCUGCAGAGCUUUGAGAAAGAACUGCCUGUUAUUGUAGCCCACUGAGAUGUGUGGAUGUUUGUUAGGCAGCAUCGCUGCAGCACCAGCUAACUGAUACAGUGAAACUGGGAGGAAGUGAACAAAGCCAAGGAGUACAUAGGAAAGCAGAUGAAGCUGGUGGUCAGCUGGGCUUGUGGGUGAGACUCUUGGAGGGCUUGGGCCUCAGGUUUCCCGGUGAUUGAGAUGUAGUGCCUGGGAUGAGGAGCCCAGGGAAGAAGGACAGGAAGUGACCUCCCACUAAUAUAACUUAUGUCAGUAUCUCCCUCUCCUUGCCCCUGACCCUCUCCUUCUCUUUGCUUUGAGACGAAACCAAGGCUUGUAUUUGCCAGGAUACACCCCCCCAGGGGCCAAACCACUGAGCGGGAUUAUGUGCAGCCCUGCCAUCCUCAGUGACCCACUGGCCUCCGUCUCUGUCAGAAUAUCUCCUUUACAGACUGAUUUGGACAAGUCCUGAUUUGGAUAAGGUGGUGGGUGAGACUUCCUACCCAGGGAACCACUCAAGAGAGAGGCCCUGAGAUUUCCCAGGGCUUCCUGCAGAAACGGCCACCUAUUAUUAUUACUUUCAUUUACUUAAAAUACCUGCCUUUGCAGCAGCGAAACCGCCCAAAAUAUUCACUUCUUUAUUUCCAGCUAGACAAGCUGAACUCAAUUUGCAUUGGAUAAUUAUUUUCAAUUAAGUGAUAACAAUCCUGUUUUGUACAAAAAUAAUCUUGUCCAAAGGCCAAACAGUUUAUCCCAUCCAAGAAACAAGGAGGCAGUGACAGAGGGAGGCCUGUCAGCGUGCUCUCUGUGCAGUGGAGGGAUGCCCAGCCGAGUCCCUUGUGGUGCACCUCUGACCCUGUGGGCGAAGUAGAACCAUUGGUCUGGUCUGCCCUCGGAGCCCCUGCACUGCAGCCGCUUUUUUCUUCUUUGAACUAAUAAGGAAACACCUCCUAACAAUGGCCAAGUGCUAGAAAAGGCAGCUGAGGCAGAGGAGCCCAGAACAGAGCCAGGAGACCUGGGUUCCCGACUUACUGUGUGGCCCCAGGCAAGUCAUCCCUGCUCUGGGCCUCAGAAUCCUCUGUAUGGGGAACAUUGAGGUUAGAUAUACGGGACUGCUCCAGCUCAGACGGUCUGCGAUUCUGUCCCAAUUACCCAGAGCAGCCUAAGUCUAGAGAAGCCAGGUUUUCUAUAGAGGAACCAGCUCAGCAGCCAAGUCCCACUUCCUGGCUCUUCUGUGUGCUGCUGAGGUGGAGAUUCAUCUCUACCAGGCUGAGGGAGAAGGGAGUGAGUUCUGAAGCCUCAUUCAGGAGGAGCUUGUUCAAUCCUGCUUAUGUGUCCAGGAGUAGAUGGCUCCAGCCAGGGGCUUUGGGAGCUGGAGCACUGAAUGCCAAAACGUCACAGAGAUGGGAAACAUCCUAAGGUGUCAUCGUUGGUCAUGUGCUCCCACACCUGUAGCAACAGAGCACUCACUUCCUCCCCAGGAGGCCCUUUGCCACAGCAGCCCUUGUGGGAAACCUGUCUGCAGGCCCUCCCACCCUCCCAGGACUCAUGUGCCCUGAGCAGUCUGUCCAGUCUACCCACCCUGACGACCUCAGCCAGUGCCCAGUCAGGCCUUGAUACAGGUUUAUAGAAGCCAUGACGCUGUUCACUUAGCUGUAUAGGCUGCACACCCAGCCAGACCCAUCUGCCACCACACCCACUAGAGAGCAUGAUGGUCAGUGUGUGCAGGUUAUUUCAAGUCCAUUUUCACACUCAUUGCUCUGUGGUGUAUCUUGUACAGCUCUUCUUAGAGCCACAUGCUUCUCAUCACUUUAUGGCGAUGUCAUAAAACUUCCCUUUACAGCUGUCGCUUCUGUUUCGAAUCUGGGUAAAGCUCCUCCCCAUCGAUUCAGCUGCUGGGAACAUCUCCCACUGAGGUCUUUUCCUUCUUCCUGAGGCUACAUUUUCAUUACAAGUCUAAAGGUAGAUGCAUUUAUAGUUGCGUGCUGAGAAAGACUCUUAUUUAAGUUUAUACAUUUCUUAUCGAACUUGAACUUGAUUAGAUUUAUCAAGAACAAUAAAACACACAGCCCAGAAACCUCUUCCCCAAACUGAGGUGGUUCGGCUGAGCUCCAGCUCUGUGCAGAUGGUGGCAGAGCCCCAGGGCCCCCGCUGGCCUCCUGACCCCCCUCCCCAGGGGACCUCAGGGAGGCCUGGGGACAAUUUGGGAGAAAUAUGAGGAAGCCACGACAGCACGUGCAAGGCUGACUAUUUUUAAACAACCCACUCAGCCCUUAAAAAAGAUUCAUGUUUGCAUGGGGCAGGGAGAGAGAGGGGAAAAUGUUUUUGAUAUAUUAACUGAUGUAAAUUAUUUAUUCUAUAAAUAUUAGUUUGUGUGGAAAGAUUUGUUUAUGCAGGAAGAUGUUUAUAAAUAUUUGUUUAUAUGGAAAUAGUAUAUAUUUCAUAAUUGAAAAUGAAAAUGAAAAUGCAUAUGAUCCCAUAAUUGGGUGAAAAAAGGAAAACCCCCCUCCUGCCCACCCUCCACAUAGAAAUGAGGCUUCAGGUGGUUCAAACAAAGAACUGAUCUGAAUUCCGAUGCCCAGUACCUCAAAUAUUUGAUGCUUCAGGAAAGGUUGAUACAAGAAACCAAGGAGGAAAAAAAACCCAAGAUUGUUUUCUGUGAUUCAAAAAUCUAAGCUCUAGGUAUAUGAAAUUCCCCACCCAUUCAAAAAACUGAGGCCUUUGGGCAUGAGCUUUAUGCCAUCAGCAGUAGAUCUAAAGGAUACUGAUCAGUAAAGCCAGCUUUUCCUACCCCUGCUCUCCCCUAAGUUUGUGUAAAUCUCCCCCAGGCUGGAGGAGGAAGAGGAAUGAAAGGGAAGGGCCGAAGUGUGAUGCUGCUGGGGCUGCCGAGAAGGGGCCAAGUCCUUGAGAGGCACAGUAAUAGCCCCCCAUGAGCUGAGGGGUCUGAGAGCAGAGAGGCCUGCAGCCUUGGUGCCCCACUGGAUGGAGGCAACAGUGGGUUGAGACAGCUGCUCGGGAUGUUUGGGCAGACUCACUGGGACAGCCUUAGAAGCUGAGCCAGGGGCCCCAAGGUUCCCAGUGUGACCGGGAGGGCGCCAGGCUCUCUGCCAGCCGCCCCCUCACCCAGCCUUGCUGGUCCUCUGCUUUUCCAGCCUUGGCCAGUGCUCCUCAGAGCUCAGACAGUCCUGCCAUUGGUUGGCCAGGUUGGGAAAGGCAGCAGGGCUCUGUGCUGGGGGCUCCCGUGUAUUCCCUGGUGUGCGGCUCUCCUACAGCCGUAGUCGCUUACAGAUAAGGAAACCGAGGCUCAGAGUGGUUAUGUGGUUUGCUCAGGUCACAGAGUGCAUUCAGACCAUGGUCUGGGAGUUCCCGUUGUGGCUCAGUGGCUAACGAACCUGACUAGUAUUCAUGAAGACACAGGUUCAAUCCCUGGCCUUGCUCAGUGGGUUAAGGAUCUGGCGUUGCCAUGAGCUGUGGCGUAGGUCGCAGGUGUGGCUCGGAUCCCAUGUUGCUGUGGCUGUGGUAUAGGCCGGUGGUUACAGCUCCGAUUAAACCCCUAGCCUGGCAACCUCCCUAUGCCACG